This 1339-nucleotide ribosomal RNA is filed under the name metagenome. RNAcentral's name for it is "bacterial LSU rRNA". It matches the Rfam family "Bacterial large subunit ribosomal RNA", at positions 1569 to 2912 of the family's 2925-position model. The record is from RNAcentral.
UCACCGGAACUUGUUCCGGAUGGAUGUCAAUGAUGUCAUACUUCCAAGAAAAGCUCGUACACUAUUAACACAAUAAUGACCUGUACCAUAAACCGACACAGGUAGGUAAGUAGAGCAUACUAAGGGGCGCGAGAGAACUCUCUCUAAGGAACUCGGCAAACUGGCCCCGUAACUUCGGAAGAAGGGGCGCCUGAUAAUAUCAGGUCGCAGUGACCAGGCUCAGGCGACUGUUUACCAAAAACACAGGUCUCCGCAAAGUCGUAAGACAAUAUAUGGGGGCUGACGCCUGCCCAGUGCCGGAAGGUGAAGGAAGUUGGUUAUUUUGGUUUCCAAGAGAAGCUGACGACCGAAGCCCCGGUGAACGGCGGCUGUAACUAUGACAGUCCUAAGGUAGCGAAAUUCAUUGUCGAGUAAGUUUCGACCUGCACGAAAGGCGUAACGAUCUGAGCGCUGUCUCAGAGAGAGACUCGGUGAAAUAGACUUGUCCGUGAAGAUGCGGACUACUAACAUUUGGACAGAAAGACCCUAUGAAGCUUGACUGUAUUCUGGAAUGGAAUUCGGGCUUUUCUUGCGCAGUCUAGGUGGGAGGCUUUGAGGAUUUCCUUCCGGGGAAAUCGGAGCCAUCAGUGAGAGACCACUCUGGGAAGGCUAGAAUUCUAAUGGCGAUCCUUGAAUCAGGACGCUUGACAGUUUCAGAUGGGCAGUUUUUCUGGGGCGGAAAUCUCCUAAAAAGUAACGGAGGUGCGCAAUGGUUCCCUCAGUCUGGACGGAAAUCAGACAUUGAGUGUAAAGGCAAAAGGGAGCUUGACUGUAAGACCUACAAGUCAAACAGGGGCGAAAGCCGGCCUUAGUGAUCCGACGGUGCUGUGUGGAAAGGCCGUUGCUCAACGGAUAAAAGUUACUCUAGGAUAACAGGCUAAUCUUCUCCAAGAGUUCACAUCGACGAGAAGGUUUGGCACCUCGAUGUCGGCUCAUCACAUCCUGGGGCUGUAGUAGGUCCCAAGGGUUGGGCUGUUCGCCCAUUAAAGUGGUACGUGAGCUGGGUUCAGAACGUCGUAAGACAGUUCGGUCCAUAUCCGAUGUUAGCGUUAGAAUAUUGAGGUCAGUCACUCAUAGUACGAGAGGACCUGUAGUGAUCAUGCCUAUGGUCUAUCAGUUCUUUUUCCAAAGGGAAACGCUGAGUAGCUACGCAUGGAGUGCAUAACCGCUGAAAGCAUCUAAGUGGGAAGGCCAGACCAAGAUGAGUAUUCUCCAUUAAGCCGCAGCAAGACAAGCUGAUAAAUAGGUAUCAGGUGUAAGAUCCGUAAUGGUUUGAGCCGAGAUAUACUAAAGGCAGACU